This is a non-coding RNA of Salvelinus sp. IW2-2015, 1170 nucleotides long. The record is from RefSeq and is a predicted model, not a curated record. NCBI's taxonomy places the organism in Eukaryota, Metazoa, Chordata, Actinopteri, Salmoniformes, Salmonidae.
CAGCCCAGAGGCUGUGGUUCAUAUGACACAGGAGGACAUGGGCCGAAUUGGAAUCUCUUCAGCUGCACACCAGAAUAAGAUCCUGACCAGCGUCCAGGGAAUGCUCUCCCAAAUGCAACAGAUACAAGGCAGAAUGGUUCCGGUCUGAUCCACAAGAAGGAAACGACUUCAUUUCUUAKGAUAAUAAAAAUAAAAUAUCAAAAGACAAAUGAACGAUAAAAUUGUUUACCUCAUCCAUGCACUUUAAAUUGGAUUUAAAAGAAGAAGAAAAGAAGAAGAAAAGUGGGAAAAAAUUGCACUUUUUGUCAGACGUUAGACCUUGCCCUAUUGAGAACGGGAUAUUUUCCUGUCRGAGCGGCGCUGGGAAUGGGACGGACGGAAAGCUUUUCCGAGAGGCCAACUGGAGUGCCUUCAACGGUCUGGAAGGAAUUCAGAGGGGAUCGCUCCUCUGGGCAAAAGUAAUGUUUCUGGAACGUUCUUUCUGGAAUACCUACAGAGCAGUAAUUGUGUUAAGUUGUGUAUGUAUGAAUUGUUCUCUGUGACUCGCUGCCAUACCCUCRAUUGUCUUUCUCAGCUGGAUCCGUCCUAACAACAACAGACAAAAUGGAGGAUUCCAACCUCGAGAUAAACACUGAUGUUCUGAAUCUGAGAGGUUGAGGGAGGGAUUCAAGAGGGAGGGGAAGUGGGAUCUGUGUUUUUGCUCUGUUCUGGUCUUGUUUUUUCCCAGAUUGGGCUGUUUUGUUGCCCUCAGGACAUUGAGCAUUUUCUCAGAAUGUCUUUGAUCUAAAGAGGUGCAUUGCUACCCCUUGUCCUCCCAAAUCAACAUCUCACCCCUCCUAAAACAUUUUAUUUGGAUCAUCUUUCAUCAGCCCCUCUGGYUUACAGCCCGCCCCCCUGGGUCUGAUUAUUGCUUUUUGUUCUUUGACAGACAGCUGUUUGGACCAGUUGGAUUCUUACUGUGUAUUUGUUUCCUGAACGUAAAAAUGAGAGCAAAGGAGUAUGGGAUUUAUUUGAGCACAACUGUGCACAACUGKGGAGAGAUGGAUAUGUAACAAAAAACAAUGACAACGACAUCAAAAUAAACAAGAGAAUACAUGCUGGACAUUAUUCAAUCAUCAAUCACCAUGCUGCCCCCGUCUAUCAUCAACAGGAUCCCCCCUCUCUCCCCAU